CCGAACUACUCCAUCCCGACCGUCCACUUCUGCCUACCAGACAAUAAAUACCUCUCAACCGCAUAUCCUCCUACCAGACCAAGAGGAAACCUAGCCGCGUUCUCCUCUGCGGCACGCAACCUUUGUCCCCUCUAGAUAUAGAACAACACGCCUCGUCCACCCAUACCUCUAGAAGUCUAGAUCUAGGCCUGACCUGUAGUUUCCUGAUCGUGUUCGCCUCGAUCUCGGGGUAAGCUCAGUUCGGCGUCCAUGAUUUGUUCCCAUCACCCGUUUGUUAUCUGAAUCCCAGGUUUCUCCUUCUGAUCGGCGAGUUGGGGCUUGCGGCGAUCUUGGAGAAAAGACGGGAGGCAAGCUGCAUCUGCGCACGGAAGCUUCCGAUCUGCCCGGCUGGCGUCUCAGAUCUGUUGCUGAUCUGAUGCUUCACGGCGGAUCUGGUUGUUCCCGGCGGUCUCAAGUCGGCGCAGCGGCUGGCGGCGAGUUUUCCGGCAAGCACGUGGGAUCCCGUCUGCUCCUCUACCUCGUGCGACGACGGCCAACGGCUCUUUGUGUUGAUAAUAAUUAUUCGAUGAUAUGUCGAUAAUUAUUAGAUCUAAGAGAUCGGAGGUGACGUAAGGUAAGAGCAUGUAACAAGCGAGGUGCUUGUGGAGAGGGCGGAGAAGAUUGAGAAAAAGGAGAUGUGAACAUCUAGAGGCCUUUGCCAUGUUGGGUGCGCUCGCAUGGCAGGCCGCCACCAUAAUAAAGAUGUUUUUUUGUCUCGGGGGGAGAUCGCACGGGGGUUAUCUUGUUUUAGCCCCGGGUUCUCCCCCCUGUGUGUUGGUGUGCUCUUUUGUCUGCACCUCUCGUCCGAUCCGACUACAUGGCACAACAAUUCUACCGUCGCGAAUCGAUCAUGGAGCAACCGACGAAAGACCAAAGGUACAAUCGAUAAUUUACAUACAGCUGAACCAUACAUAAUCAUUGACACAUCACAAAUUUUAUUACGUACAAGGAUUAUCUUGAAUCCAUAUAAGUAACUUUGGUAGAUAGAGAUUGUAUGACACCACAAAUUUGCAACACCUACAGCAGUCCAGCCUAAACAAAUUGCAUGGCGGAUUUACAUAUUGUUGUAACAAUUCGAGUAUAUUUGGAUUCUUCAGUCAGAAGUUGUGUUUAUUUGUAUGAUAUUUUGUACUAAAUCUAAUUUUAAUUCUCUCUAUAUAAGGAUUUCUUUAAUAAGAAAUACAUAUUAGACCCUUUUCUGUGGUCUCAUGCUUCAUACUGUAAGCUGUCUUACAUGUAGCUUGAACAGCUGUAUGUGGGGUCUUUGUAUUACCCAAAAUGAAGCCUACAGCUAUCCGCCGGUGAACACAUCUUUCUCGUUGGAGCUUGAAGAGACGUGAGUGCUCUAUGGUUCUGGAGAAAUCUGCUGAACACAUCUUACCUCAAGGAAUUACCCGCUCGGAGGCCGGUUAAAAUGCACUCAGCCUACUAAUCUGGAUAAUCAUUUAUUAGAGCGCUAUUUUAACCAGUUUUGCUUUACAUAUUAUGGUGAACAGUACAUCCAUUUGUAUCAGUUGGUUAAACAUAAUUAGAUAUUAUAUUUGUGGAUAUUCUCUAUAUUGUAUGAUCGGAAC
RNAcentral lists this ribosomal RNA (1613 nucleotides) under Triticum aestivum (bread wheat). RNAcentral's name for it is "partial small subunit ribosomal RNA". The record is from RNAcentral. Lineage: Eukaryota; Viridiplantae; Streptophyta; Magnoliopsida; Poales; Poaceae.